This 61-nucleotide microRNA precursor is filed under the name Schmidtea mediterranea. RNAcentral describes it as "Sme-Mir-31-P20_pre stem-loop". Lineage: Eukaryota; Metazoa; Platyhelminthes; Tricladida; Dugesiidae. The record is from RNAcentral.
AGGCAAGAUGCUGGCAUAGCUGAUAAACUAUUUAUUACCAGCUAUUCAGGAUCUUUCCCUG